RNAcentral lists this transfer RNA (76 nucleotides) under Phycisphaerales bacterium. RNAcentral describes it as "tRNA-Phe". It matches the Rfam family "tRNA". Rfam says of the family: Transfer RNA (tRNA) molecules are approximately 80 nucleotides in length. Their secondary structure includes four short double-helical elements and three loops (D, anti-codon, and T loops). The record is from RNAcentral. Lineage: Bacteria; Pseudomonadati; Planctomycetota; Phycisphaerae; Phycisphaerales.
GCCGAAAUAGCUCAGUUGGUAGAGCAAGCGACUGAAAAUCGCUGAGUCGGCGGUUCGAAUCCGUCUUUCGGCACCA